GAGGGUAUAGCUCAGCGGCAGAAGGCGUGCUUAGCAUGCACGAGGUCCUGGGUUCAAUCCCCAGUACCUCCA
This 72-nucleotide transfer RNA is filed under the name Camelus bactrianus (Bactrian camel). It matches the Rfam family "tRNA". Rfam says of the family: Transfer RNA (tRNA) molecules are approximately 80 nucleotides in length. RNAcentral also lists the same sequence under 1 other name. Lineage: Eukaryota; Metazoa; Chordata; Mammalia; Artiodactyla; Camelidae. The record is from Rfam by way of RNAcentral.